UCAAGUGACUAAGUGCAUGUGGCGGAUGCCUUGGCGAUCACAGGCGAAGAAAGACGCGGCAGCCUGCGAAAAGCUGCGGGGAGCUGGCAAACGAGCUUUGAUCCGCAGAUAUCUGAAUGGGGGAACCCACACCGCAAGGUGUAUCCGUAGCUGAAUACAUAGGUUACGGAGGCGAACGAGGAGAACUGAAACAUCUAAGUAUCCUCAGGAAAAGAAAUCAACCGAGAUUCCGGCAGUAGCGGCGAGCGAACCCGGAGGAGCCUAGCUUUUGAUAGUACGAACUUUAGCCGAAAGGUCCUGGAAAGGCCUGCUAUAGUGGGUGAUAGCCCCGUAGGCGAAAGAGUUGGUACGGUACUAAGGAAGCGAGAAGUAGAGCGGGACACGUGGAAUCCUGUUCGAAGACGGGGGGACCAUCCUCCAAGGCUAAAUACUCGUGAUCGACCGAUAGUGAACCAGUACCGUGAGGGAAAGGCGAAAAGAACCCCGGGAGGGGAGUGAAAUAGAACCUGAAACCGCAUGCAUACAAACAGUAGGAGCCUCGUCAGAGGUGACUGCGUACCUUUUGCAUAAUGGGUCAGCGACUUACAUUCUGUGGCGAGCUUAACCGAAUAGGGGAGGCGCAGCGAAAGCGAGUUCGAAAUGAGCGUCCAGUCGCAGGGUGUAGACCCGAAACCAGAUGAGCUAUCCAUGGCCAGGUUGAAGGUGUGGUAACACACACUGGAGGACCGAACCGACUAGUGUUGCAAAAUUAGCGGAUGAGCUGUGGAUAGGGGUGAAAGGCCAAACAAAUCUGGAGAUAGCUGGUUCUCCCCGAAAACUAUUGAGGUAGUGCCUCGUGUGUCGCUCCAGGGGGUAGAGCACUGUUUUGGCUAGGGGGACAUGGAGUCUUACCAAACCAAGGCAAACUCCGAAUACCUGGAAGCGUAAGCACGGGAGACAGAGCACCGGGUGCUAACGUCCGGACUCAAAAGGGAAACAACCCAGACCGCCGGCUAAGGUCCCCAAUAACAGCUAAGUGGAAAACGAAGUGGAAAGGCCGUGACAACCAGGAAGUUGGCUUAGAAGCAGCCAUCCUUCAAAGAAAGCGUAAUAGCUCACUGGUCGAGUCCUUCUGCGCGGAAGAUGUAACGGGGCUAAGCUGUUAACCGAAGCCGCGGAUGCACUGAUUAUUCAGUGCGUGGUAGGGGAGCGUUCUGUAAGUCUGCGAAGGCGGUUCGAGAGGACUGCUGGAGAUAUCAGAAGUGCGAAUGCUGACAUGAGUAACGUUAAAGCAGGUGAAAAGCCUGCUCGCCGUAAGCCCAAGGAUUCCUGCUCUACGUUCAUCGGAGCAGGGUGAGUCGGCUCCUAAGGUCAGGCCGAAAGGCGUAGCCGAUGGGAAUCAGGUUAAUAUUCCUGAACCUGCGUCAGAUGCGAUGGGGGGACGGAGCAUGGAAGAUCAUCCGGGUGUUGGAAGUCCCGGUUGUUUAGCGUAGGAGGUCUGCAGGCAAAUCCGCAGACGCAUCUCCAAGGCAAAGACACGUGCCGCCACGGCGGCGAAGUGAUCGGAAGUGCUUCCAAGAAAAGCCUCUAAGCACCAGUCUGACGCGGACCGUACCGCAAACCGACACUGGUGGGCGAGCUGAAUAUGCUCAGGCGCUUGAGAGAACUCGGGAGAAGGAACUCGGCAAAUUGACACCGUAACUUCGGAAGAAGGUGUGCCGUAGUACCGUGAGAGGAGAGACACCUUGAGCGGGAAUCGGUCUCAGAGAAUAGGUGGCUGCGACUGUUUAUUAAAAACACAGCACUCUGCAAAGUCGAAAGACGACGUAUAGGGUGUGAUGCCUGCCCGGUGCUGGAAGAUUAAUUGAUGGGGUGAGAGCCCUUGAUCGAAGUCCCAGUAAACGGCGGCCGUAACUAUAACGGUCCUAAGGUAGCGAAAUUCCUUGUC
Molecule: ribosomal RNA, 1927 nt
Filed under: metagenome
Description: bacterial LSU rRNA
Rfam family: Bacterial large subunit ribosomal RNA
Source: RNAcentral